CACAUGCCACCUAGCGGCUUCCCAAGCGGAAAAUUCCUUCUUGAACGUGAUUUACAGACGCGCCGCCUCUGCCGCCUGCUCCGUACGCCUCAAGCCCGCUGCUGAGGAGCACGGCCCGGGCCUCUCUGCAAACCUGCCCCGCGGCAGCCGCGGCCAAGAGCCGCCUGUCACCAGCCCCUCAGUGCACCCUCAGACUCCCCCGAGAAAUUUCCGCCUCCUUGGCCUGUGUUUACAGCUCUCUCCUGUUUUCUGCCAUGUUCAAAGCCUUCACGGAGCCUGCACCCAUUUGGCUGCUCACCUUACCCCUCUGGGCCACGGCCUUCACCAAAUAUCUGGCGGAGAGGAGGUUGUACAUUGUACUUUUAAAGCAUUCAGUGAUGGCGGACACUCACCACAAAGUUCAUGUUAGUUAAAAUCCUAGUUUUCCAAGGGAAAAAAAAAUCAGAAAUGCUUAAAGAGGUCUUUCCCUCUUUCUAACUUCUUGCAAGGGUCGGGGAGGAUUUUAUUGUACAGCUCAACAGCUGCUCUUUGAGUGCUACAGCCAUUUUCCUUCAGACAAAAGGUAUUACACCAUAGCCUUUCAGUUAGGCCAUUUCUCCAAGAAACGGGAAGUUCUGCCUCCAAAAGUGGUAAUUUGAUUUGUCUUGCUCCUUUCUCAACAAGGUGGCCUAACCCCUGUGUUGAUUGAAUGCCUGUGUGCCCCAGUCAGCCCCAGCGUGCUGCCAGCAAAGCGAGACGGUGUCUGCAGAGCAGGUGAGGGACACCCCGCAAGGACCAGCAGCACGGUCCCUCGGGACAAGCCCCGCUCCAGGCACGAUGCCUGUCAGAGGACACAGAGCAUGCAUUUGCUCUGUGAAAGGAAGAACUUUAUCAUCACAAAAUCAGGGCAAGGGCUGUCCAAGUUACUCUGGGCAAAGAAAGGAACUGGACCAUGUUAUCUCCGGUGUUUUCAUUAGGCAGAGGCAGCAUUUAAAAAGAAGCCACUUUCCCUAAAUAUUCAUUUCUGGGUUUCUAUUUCAAAUGCUUGAAAACAGAAUUCUUCCUCUUGAAAGUACUUGAAAGUUUUCUCUGCAAGAAAUUAUUUUAUUUUUCUAGGGGAAAAAAAAAACAAACCAAAACACUUAAAGCAACUCUUUCAACAUUUCGGAAAUGAUGUACCAUUUUUUUCUUUCAGACCAUUGGAGAAAUUACUUUCUUUUGUGAAAGGCCAGUGCUAGGCUUUACCACAGCCAAAAAUCAUUGAGCUAUGCUGACACCCCUAAACUAAUUUCUCCCCUCAUCAGUGUGGUCCUUAUCCUAUACAUUGUUUAAACCCGGGUGCUGAUCUUGGGUGCUGUGCAUCACCAGACCCUGAGGGCUGUGAGACAUUGUCCUGCCCUUCAAGCAUGGGUUCCUCACCAUAGCAAAGGCAAUGCCGGUGAAAUUAUGCCACAAACUGCCGCCCCGUGGCUUGGAGAGCCAGCUUUGCUGUGCAAAAGUCACAACACAGCUGUCCUUAUCAGUUAAUUACCAUCCAGAUGAUUGUGUCCAUGCAGAGGAACCGUGUGGCAAAUACAGCUGGAGCCCCUGGGCAUGACAAGGACCAUCAGAGCUCCGGAAGCACGAGGGGAGGGAGCAAAACUGACUUUCUAUCCUGGGUGCUCUGGGAAAGUCAAGGAAAUGGAAACAAGGGUGCACUCAGCAGCUAGAGGGCAGGCUCAUUUUUCCUUUAAAACUUGGGAAUCACUUCCUCACAGCUGCAGUGGCUUCUAGAGUAUCCAAGAGAAGUGGCUAAGAGAAAAGGAAUGUGAAGCAAGCUAAGGAGUCUCUGCAGAGUGUGGUCUCAGUUUUCUUCCAGUGUAUCCUGGAUAGGAUAGCAUGCACAGAUGGACACACAGCACAGAUGGACACACAGCCCUUCACAAAGAACUUUACAAAUACCUCACCCCACCUGGAUCUGUCCUUCAGCCUGAUGCCACUAGCCCUCAGCAACUCAAGCUG
Vidua macroura (Pin-tailed whydah) is the source of this 1980-nucleotide long non-coding RNA. RefSeq lists it as uncharacterized. Lineage: Eukaryota; Metazoa; Chordata; Aves; Passeriformes; Viduidae. The transcript has 3 exons. The record is from RefSeq and is a predicted model, not a curated record.